UCGAGGAUCUUCGGCAAUGGGCGCAAGCCUGACCGAGCGACGCCGCGUGUGGGAUGAAGGCCUUCGGGUUGUAAACCACUGUCAGUGGGGAGGAAGGACUGGUGUAGAGCCAGUUUUGACCUAUCCGCAGAGGAAGUGUGGGCUAAGUCCGUGCCAGCAGCCGCGGUAAGACGGACCACACAAACGUUAUUCGGAAUUACUGGGCUUAAAGGGUGCGUAGGCUGUGCAGAAAGUUGGGUGUGAAAUCCCUCGGCUCAACCGAGGAAUUGCGCCCAAAACUACUGUGCUCGAGGAAGACAGAGGUAAGCGGAACUUAGGGUGGAGCGGUGAAAUGCGUUGAUAUCCUAAGGAACACCGGUGGCGAAAGCGGCUUACUGGGUCUUUUCUGACGCUGAGGCACGAAAGCUAGGGUAGCGAACGG
This 421-nucleotide ribosomal RNA is filed under the name uncultured bacterium. RNAcentral describes it as "bacterial SSU rRNA". It matches the Rfam family "Bacterial small subunit ribosomal RNA", at positions 355 to 775 of the family's 1533-position model. The record is from RNAcentral.